AUGCAUAACUAUGUCAAGUUGAAUAUUGAUGCAGGUUUUGAUGUUGAUUCACUUAUGGGGACUUUUGGUGCUGUUUUGAGAGAUAGUAAAGGUGAUUUUGUGGCAGCUGCAAAUAACAAAGUUGAGACUUGCUUGGAUGCCCUCCCAGCGGAGACAAUGACGCUAAGAUUUGGCUUACAUUUAGUGCAAAUUGUUGGCUGCAACCGGCUGGUCGUCAACUCCGACAAUGUUGAUGUUAUUAGCACCAUGCGCGAAGGAGGUUUCUAUGCAAGUGUGGGAGCUCCUAUCUUUGAUGAGUGCUAUCAUAUGUUGACAAACUUUGUUCAUGUCAUAUUCAAGCACUCUCCACGGGAGGAUAACACAGUGGCUCAUGAAUUAGUCCGUAUUGCUAGAUAUGAUAAUCCUAGUAUUUGGUUAGAUAAACCUCCAGAUCUUUCACAGGGUAAAAUGAAGACGAAUAAUCUAAAAGCUAGCACAAGUUACCCGGGAAGUAUGCAAGGCACGGCUGCCCCUAAACUUGCUGCCUUCGGCCAGGCCUUGCGUGAACCCGCUGCUUCGCUCCACCUCCACUCUGAGCAAUCGUUGCAGCCAGCAAGUGUGGCUCCUCCUCCGCUGUCGCAAACGCCCAACCCUCUCUCCAAGGCCACCGCCCCCUGCUUCCUCCUCACACUCUAUGGCGUGAGUUGGGAGCUCCUCUCCCAUAUCAAUACACACCCUGACUAA
RNAcentral lists this ribosomal RNA (723 nucleotides) under Triticum aestivum (bread wheat). Its description in RNAcentral is "partial small subunit ribosomal RNA". The record is from RNAcentral. Lineage: Eukaryota; Viridiplantae; Streptophyta; Magnoliopsida; Poales; Poaceae.